Molecule: ribosomal RNA, 440 nt
Filed under: uncultured bacterium
Lineage: Bacteria
Description: partial 16S ribosomal RNA
Rfam family: Bacterial small subunit ribosomal RNA
Source: RNAcentral
CCUACGGGAGGCAGCAGUGGGGAAUAUUGCACAAUGGGGGAAACCCUGAUGCAGCGACGCCGCGUGAGUGAAGAAGUAUCUCGGUAUGUAAAGCUCUAUUAGCAGGGAAGAAAAUGACGGUACUUGACUAAGAAGCCCCGGCUAACUACGUGCCAGCAGCCGCGGUAAUACGUAGGGGGUGAGCGUUAUCCGGAUUUACUGGGUGGAAAGGGAGCGUAGACGGCAGCACAAGUCUGGAGUGAAAUCCCGGGGCUUAACCCCGGGACUGCUUUGGAAACUGUGCGGCUGGAGUGCAGGAGGGGUAAGCGGAAUUCCUAGUGUAGCGGUGAAACGCGUAGAUAUUAGGAGGAACACCGGUGGCGAAGGCGGCUUACUGGACUGUAACUGACGUUGAGGCUCGAAAGCGUGGGGAGCAAACAGGAUUAGAUACCCGUGUAGUC